AGCCGGCAGGAGCCGCCCCGCCCGGGAUCGGGCUGCGCCCUCCGCCACCGCCCCUGAAGAGGGAGGGGAAGGCAGCGCUGCCAGGCGGGGCUGGCAGCAAGAUGGCGCCGGCAGUGCGGGGACUGAAGAGCUUCGUGUGGCAGAAGCUGAAAUCAGCAGUAUUUGAUGACUUCACCAAAGAGGAAGAAUGGAAGGUAAUGCUUUUAGACGAUUACACUACUAAAUUACUGUCACUGUGCUGCAAAAUGACUGACCUACUGGCAGAGGGUGUCACAGUGGUGGAGAAUGUAUAUAAAACCCGUGAGCCUGUCCCACACAUGAAGGCAAUAUAUUUAAUAACUCCCACAAAAAAGUCUGUAGAUGGACUGAUUGAUGACUUCAUCAGUAAAUCAUCCAGCAGAUACAAAGCAGCAUACGUGUAUUUCACUGAUGUUUGUCCUGACAGCCUCUUCAAUAAAAUUAAGGCUUCAUGUGCAAAAUCUAUAAAGAAAUGCAAGGAGAUCAACAUUUCGUUCUUCCCUUAUGAGUCUCAGGUAUUUACUCUCAACAUCCCAGAUGCAUUCUACCGCUGUUACAGUCCCACUCUGGAAAAGACAAAGGACAAAGAUGCUGUGCUGCAAGUCAUGGCUGAACAAAUUGUUACCUUAUGUGCCACACUAGAUGAGAAUCCAGGAGUGCGGUAUAAAAGUGGACCAUCUGAUAGAGCCAGCAAACUUGCACACCUUGUUGAAAAAAGUCUUGAAAACUACUACAAAACAGAUGAGAGAAGCCAAAUAAAGGCUAAAACCCACUCCCAACUAAUAAUAAUAGAUCGUGGUUUUGACCCAGUAUCAACUGUACUCCAUGAGCUCACCUUCCAGGCAAUGGCAUAUGAUCUGCUACCCAUUGAAAAUGAUACUUACAAAUACAAAACAGAAGGCUCUGGUGGGAAGGAAAAGGAAGCAAUUUUGGAGGAAGAUGAUGACCUGUGGGUGAAGAUGCGGCACAAGCAUAUCGCAGAUGUGAUAGAGGAAAUACCAAAACUUUUGAAAGAUGCUUCAUCAAAAACAAAAGCAGCAGAAGGAAAAUUAUCCAUAUCUGCUCUGUCCCAGUUGAUGAAGAAGAUGCCACUCUAUCGUAAAGAGAUUAGUAAGCAAGUUCUUCAUCUUAACAUAGCAGAAGAUUGCAUGAGCAAGUUCAAAUCUAAUAUAGAAAGGCUCUGUAAAGCUGAACAGGACUUGGCUCUUGGAACUGAUGCAGAAGGUGAAAAAGUAAAAGACUCUAUGAGGGUCCUCCUUCCAGUUCUACUCAACAAAAGUCAUGACAGCUAUGACAAAAUCAGAGCUAUUCUCCUGUAUAUCUUUAGCACAAAUGGAACUACCCAGGAGAACUUGGACAAGCUGAUCCAGAAUGUACACAUAGAAAGUGAUAGUGAUAUGAUAAGAAAUUGGAAAUACCUUGAUGUUCCUGUUAUCUCUUCAUUUGUUGCUCAGCAGCAUAAAUACAUAAGAAGGGACCGUUCUAAAGAAGAAACCUUUCAACUUUCUAGGUGGACUCCUGUUAUCAAAGAUGUUAUGGAGGAUGCUAUAGAAAACAAAUUAGAUUCAAAAGACUGGCCUUAUUGUUCGCGCUGUCCUCCCACCUGGAAUGGUUCAGGAGCAGUAAGUGCCCGCCAGAAGCCUAGAGCGAGUUACAGAGAGGAGCGCAGGAGCGGUGCAAGGCUGAUUGUGUUUGUGAUUGGGGGAGUCAUGUACUCGGAGAUGCGCAGCGCUUACGAGGUUUCUGAGGCCUACAAGUCCUGUGAAGUUGUUAUUGGUUCUACUCAUAUUUUGACACCUAGAAAACUACUAGAGGAAGUGAAGAGCCUUAGUAAACCCAAGGAUAUAGUCUGCAUUAAGGAUGAAUAGAUAUGGUGAUGUUUAUGAUGCAUUAAAAACACAAGUAGUGUGUACAUAUGCUAAUGGAACUGACUUUUCCAAAUCCUGCACUUCAAUACUACGUGUUUCCUAAUGGGAGGUCAUGUUAUAAUUUAAAUUUGCUGCUUUUGGGGGAGUAGAAGGCAGAGAGAUGACGAGAUAAUCAGGUAUGUUUCUUAGGUUCUAUUUAGUAUUACACUGCAAGUGCUUUUCAAAAGGGCAUGUUUGUUCCUAACUAAUUAUGCUAAAAAUAAUUGUAAUUAUAUAUAAACUGGAAUUGUCUUUGAGAACUGUGAAAACUUUCUAUAAUGGCAUUUAUUUCUAAAAAUUACUGAAUUAAAAAGGGCCUAGGCUCUUGGGUAGGCACUUCAAGAGAAAACUUGUAAAUAUGGGUUUAUGGUAAAAACGUUUACUACAAGUUCAAUGUCAUUCAGUGUAAGAUUUUCUGUAAAAAUAACUUGCUGAAAAUUUUUAAAAUAUGUGUAAUUGUGAAAAAUCUAAAGGCUUUUUAGAUGGGGCUGGGUAAGGUAGAUAGUUAACCACAGAAUUAUUGAGCAGUUCCAAUCACAGUAAACCACUUUGGAGAAAUGCUGUCAACUGUGCACUGAAGUACACUUUAUAUUUAAAUAUAUACAGAGAUUAUUACUGAAGCUUUUCUCAAAAUUAUUUUCUUAGCAAAUUCCUUAUGAUUGUCUACAUAGUCUGUCUGUUUCAGAAGUUGAAUUGCCUGUGAUACAGAAAUUCCAAAACUAAGCAUGUCUCUUUGAGUAAGUGGAGGCACGGGGAAAAGACAGGACAAAAAGGGAAGCAGCUCAGUCUUUCAAAGGGCUUUGUAACUGGGAAAAGAAAAGCACAAAGCAAAGAAAAUGACAAAAACUGAUGCACUCAAAAUAAUUUACUUUUUAAAAAUUUUGUUACAUACUAAGAAAGAAAUACUUUAAUUUGUAUUGAAGGGAAUAAAAAAAAUAAAAUUGUAUGAAUUCUCUAAUACUGGUAAUGUUUAGAUUUCUCUUUAAAAAUUACUUAAUUAAAAUUACUGAACUUUUAACGCGAUGUUGUAUUUAUGUGCCUUGAAAUGUUAGUUUGUUGUAUGUAGAAUCCAAGAGAAAUGUUAUCAUGAAAAAGAUUACUUGUGUCCUUUUGUUUACGUUUUCCCAAUGACAGGUAUUUUUUUUUCAUGAUUUUAGUUUUUUUUUCCCUUUACUUUUGCUUUCAGGUUAACCAAUAUUUUAAGAGAAUAUUUUUGUUAGAUGAGUUCAUUCAGAGUUAAUUAGAAGGUGGAAAAAGGUCAAGUUCUCCCCCUACAUCAGAGAGGAAUGAAAGGGGAGGACGUGACAGAAUGAUUCUAAAAUUCUGCAGGACAUGGGAUGUGAUGAGAGCAAAGCAAAGCCAAAUGUUAUGGUGAAAGUGGAAUAAUAAAGAUGCUUUAUGAUAGGAAAUCUGGCACCAAUAUGUAGCUCAAAACAGCUUAUGAACAGGGUAAGUGGAAGUUUUAUUCAAGAUAUUUGGGGUUUUUUCCCUAAGGAUCUUCUCUGCUACAUUUUUUCUAGAUCAAGGAUCAUAUCAUGGAUGGGAAAGAGUUCUAUCAGGAUAAAUAAAAACUUAGUAUUUCAGAGUACAUGUACAAGGUAUAUUAUAACUUUGAAAGUUCGUAUUUUCAUGUGAUGCAUAUUAAAAUACUUACCGAAUGCUACAUGUGGGCCCAGCAAUUGGUUUUUAAAGUUGAAUCUGGAAAUCUGGACAAGAUUCAGAAAUUACUAAGGAAAAUCAAAGGUAUGGAACAAUCUUCAUUCCAGGAAUGGCUAGACCAGCAUCCUUGAUCAAGGGUGAAAAAAGAUGAUGGUGGAGUGUGUGGUGGAAGUCUCAAAAACCCUGUUAGUGUUGAGACUGCAGGGUUGUCUUCCUAUUCAGUGUGUGAAGUGACAGGUGAGAUCUGCAGCUGUCAAAUCAGAACAAAAGGACCUUUAGCAUCUGAGAUGCCAUGCAGUAAUGACAUGCUCUAAAUUGUUAUAUGGGAAAAAAAAUCCUCAAUGUAAGACAUAUAUUUAUAGGGCUGAUAAGUAUAAAUGUUACUGCUGAUGUGAAAGGAUUCUGGGCUUUCAGUUUGCUAGAGGAUGUUCUGAGGAAUUUCACUUCAUGAUUGUCUUAUUCAAUCUGAUCUUUUUUAGGCAGUUGCUGUCAGACACAGGACAGCAGGUGCAGGGAUCCAGGAUAAACAAAAGGUUCAGAACAAGCUGUUCUUGUGAUGUGGAGAGAU
Vidua chalybeata is the source of this 4152-nucleotide RNA transcript. It is a transcript of the gene named syntaxin binding protein 3, with no coding region annotated. NCBI's taxonomy places the organism in Eukaryota, Metazoa, Chordata, Aves, Passeriformes, Viduidae. The record is from RefSeq and is a predicted model, not a curated record. The transcript has 20 exons.